RNAcentral lists this ribosomal RNA (515 nucleotides) under uncultured bacterium. RNAcentral's name for it is "partial 16S ribosomal RNA". It matches the Rfam family "Bacterial small subunit ribosomal RNA", at positions 30 to 523 of the family's 1533-position model. The record is from RNAcentral.
AUUGAACGCUGGAGGCGUGCUUAACACAUGCAAGUCGUGCGAGAAAGGGACUUCGGUCCUGAGUAGAGCGGCGCACAGGUGAGUAACGCGUGGGUGAUCUCCCUUGGUGAUCGGGAUAACAGCGGGAAACUGCUGCUAAUACCGGAUAAUCUUCAUGUUUAACUUCAUGGGGUAAAGGUGGCCUCUGCUUGCAAGCUACCACAUCAAGAUGAGCCCGCGUCUCAUUAGCUGGUUGGUAGGGUAAUGGCCUACCAAGGCUACGAUGAGUAGCUGGUCUGAGAGGAUGACCAGCCACACUGGGACUGGAACACGGCCCAGACUCCUACGGGAGGCAGCAGUGGGGAAUAUUGCGCAAUGGGCGAAAGCCUGACGCAGCGACGCCUCGUGAGGGAUGAAGGUCUUCGGAUCGUAAACCUCUGUCAAGAGGGAAGAAACCCUUAGGUUCGAAUAGGGCCUUUGGCUGACGGUACCUCAAAAGGAAGCACCGGCUAACUCCGUGCCAGCAGCCGCAGUAA